Molecule: small nuclear RNA, 191 nt
Filed under: Salvator merianae (Argentine black and white tegu)
Lineage: Eukaryota; Metazoa; Chordata; Lepidosauria; Squamata; Teiidae
Description: U2 spliceosomal RNA (ENSSMRG00000019295.1)
Rfam family: U2 spliceosomal RNA
About the family: U2 is a small nuclear RNA (snRNA) component of the spliceosome (involved in pre-mRNA splicing). Complementary binding between U2 snRNA (in an area lying towards the 5' end but 3' to hairpin I) and the branchpoint sequence (BPS) of the intron results the bulging out of an unpaired adenosine, on the BPS, which initiates a nucleophilic attack at the intronic 5' splice site, thus starting the first of two transesterification reactions that mediate splicing.
Source: Rfam by way of RNAcentral
AUCGCUUCUCGGCCUUUUGGCUAAGAUCAAGUGUAGUAUCUGUUCUUAUCAGUUUAAUAUCUGAUAUGUCCUCUAUUUGAGGACUCUAUAUUAAAUGGAUUCUAUAUACAGAAGGUAGUAUAAGAAUUGUUCUAUAUACAGUUGUAUCAUAACUUCUUUCCCCCUAAAACAGGGGGAAUGGGACAGUUUAC